UGGGGGAUAUUGCACAAUGGGCGAAAGCCUGAUGCAGCGACGCCGCGUGGGGGAUGAAGGCUUUCGGGUUGUAAACCUCUUUCGCUAUCGAACAAGGCCCGCUUAGGGUGGGUUGAGGGUAGGUGGAGAAGAAGCGCCGGCUAACUACGUGCCAGCAGCCGCGGUAAUACGUAGGGCGCGAGCGUUGUCCGGAAUUUUUGGGCGUAAAGGGCUUGUAGGCGGCUUGUUGCGCCUGCUGUGAAAACGCGGGGCUUAACUUCGCGCGUGCAGUGGGUACGGGCAGGCUUGAGUGUGGUAGGGGUGACUGGAAUUCCAGGUGUAGCGGUGGAAUGCGCAGAUAUCUGGAGGAACACCGAUGGCGAAGGCAGGUCACUGGGCCAUUACUGACGCUGAGGAGCGAAAGCAUGGGUAGCGAACAGG
This 420-nucleotide ribosomal RNA is filed under the name bacterium. Its description in RNAcentral is "partial 16S ribosomal RNA". It matches the Rfam family "Bacterial small subunit ribosomal RNA", at positions 355 to 776 of the family's 1533-position model. The record is from RNAcentral.